CCUACGGGAGGCAGCAGUAGGGAAUAUUGCUCAAUGGGGGAAACCCUGAAGCAGCAACGCCGCGUGGAGGAUGAAGGUUUUAGGAUUGUAAACUCCUUUUGUGAGAGAAGAUAAUGACGGUAUCUCACGAAUAAGCACCGGCUAACUCCGUGCCAGCAGCCGCGGUAAUACGGAGGGUGCAAGCGUUACUCGGAAUCACUGGGCGUAAAGAGUGCGCAGGCGGGCUUGUAAGUCAGAUGUGAAAUCCUGUAGCUUAACUACAGAACUGCAUUUGAAACUAGGAGUCUAGAGUGUGGGAGAGGUAGGUGGAAUUCGUGGUGUAGGGGUAAAAUGCGUAGAUAUCAAGAGGAAUACUCAUUGCGAAGGCGACCUACUGGAACAUUACUGACGCUCAUGCACGAAAGCGUGGGGAGCAAACAGGAUUAGAUACCCCAGUAGUC
RNAcentral lists this ribosomal RNA (440 nucleotides) under uncultured bacterium. RNAcentral describes it as "partial 16S ribosomal RNA". It matches the Rfam family "Bacterial small subunit ribosomal RNA", at positions 338 to 795 of the family's 1533-position model. The record is from RNAcentral.